RNA transcript from Jatropha curcas, 2819 nucleotides. It is a transcript of the gene named Tetratricopeptide repeat (TPR)-like superfamily protein, with no coding region annotated. The record is from RefSeq and is a predicted model, not a curated record. NCBI's taxonomy places the organism in Eukaryota, Viridiplantae, Streptophyta, Magnoliopsida, Malpighiales, Euphorbiaceae.
GCGUGGAACGAGCGAGCUAAAUAGAUUAUUUCCAUUUUCCACUGUCUCCAAAGCCUUGCCAAAAACCCCAUAUAUGAAAAACCCUAACCCAUCACAACUCGCUCUCCCCGAGUUCGCUUCACUGUUCCCUCUCUUGCAUUUAAUUUCCAGUUUCAAGCUCCUCAAUAAUGCAUAGGCUAUCUAAACGCUCCGUUUCUGCUAUCCUUCACUCCGGUGGCUCAAAUUACCGGAGAAGCGCAGCUGCGGCCUGGCUCGCCUGUUCUUCUGACUUGGCCGAUUUGGCUGUAGAUGGAGAUAAUAGAGUCAGAUGGUACUCAUUGUUGACCCCCAGGAAUCUGAUACCAAAUCGAGCUGGCGCUUCAACUCAUUUGAACUUGAAACAUGGUUUGUUUUUGGGUCAUCGGUGUGAGUCCACUGCAGCAGAAACUGAUGCAUCAUCUCCCCCACCGCCAGUGGGUGAAAAAUAUGAAUAUCAAUCUGAGGUGGAAAAUUUUGCCCCUGAGAGUGGAAGCAGUGAACCUUUGUGGGACUCAUUGGAGGAUGGUGAUCCCCAUAUUAAUGCAAAAGAUGUAGAUGAGGGAGAGUUUUAUGUGAUAGACACAGAGAAAUUAGAAAAUGUGUUGUCUUUGUUACAGAGCCGCAGUGAUGGUUCCUUAGAGUUGAGCCUUGAUAGUAUGGAUUUGGAUUUACAUGAGGAGUUUAUAGUGAAAGUACUGGAAACUCCUCUUGUUUCGGGCGAUAAUUUGAUUAAGUUUUUCAGGUGGGCAAUUGAGAAGCCAGAAAUUAGUGUGACUAACCGUGUAGUUGAUUUGCUUGUUCAAUCUAUCUGUAGUGACCUUAGGAAGAAAAACGCAUAUGCAUUGUGGGAUUUGGUCCAGGAUGUUGCUCAGAAGGAUGCUGCUGUUCUGAAUACUGUGAUUCUUAAUCAGCUGAUAAUUUUGUUUUCAAAGUUGGGUAAAGGGAAAGCAGCUUAUGAGGUUUUCAACAAGUUUGUGGAUUUUGGGUAUGUCCCGGAUUCAGAUACUUAUUAUUAUACAAUUGAAGCCCUUUGUAGGCGAUCUUUUUUCGACUGGGCUUGGUCAGUUUGUGAGAAGAUGCUUAAUGCUGAAACUUUGCCUGAGAGUGAGAAAGUCGGUAAGGUUAUUUGUUGGUUUUGCAAAGGGAGUAGGGCAAAAGAUGCCCAUAUGGUUUAUAUGUUGGCAAAGGAGAAGAACAAGUAUCCACCUCAGCCUGCAGUCAAUUUUUUGAUUAGUUUGCUCAGUCAGAAAGAUGAAACAGUCAAAUUAGCAUUGGAGACAUUGAAUACCUUACCUAGAGAAACACAGAAGCGUGCGAUCAAGCCCUUUUCAUCUGUUAUUUGCGGUUUGUGCAGGAUCAAAGAUUUGGAAGGGGCAAAAAUUUUACUCUGUAAGAUGAUUGAAGAGGGCCCACCUCCUGGAAAUGCUGUUUUCAAUUACAUUAUCAAUGGCUAUUCCAAGAAUGGAGAUGUGGGAGAAGCAAUAAAGAUAAAAAAAUUGAUGGAAAAGAGGGGGCUGAGGCCGGAUCUUUACACCUAUACAGUUAUUAUGAGUGGUUAUGCAAGUGGGGGUCAGAUGAAGGAGGCUUGUAAAAUGCUGUCAGAAGCGAAAAAGAAGCACUCUAAGCUGAGUCCUGUGACUUACCAUACACUUAUUCGAGGGUAUUGCAAACUUGAACAGUUUGACAAGGCUUUGGAGUUAGUAGCAGAGAUGAAGGCAUUUGGUGUCCAACCUAAUGUAGAUGAGUACAAUAAGUUGAUCCAAUCUCUAUGCUUAAAGGCCUUAGAUUGGGAGAAGGCAGAGAAGCUGAUGGAGAAGAUGAAGGAUGAUGGCUUGCAUUUAAAUGGGAUCACACGAGGCCUUAUAAGAGCAGUCAAGGAGCUUGAAGAAGAAACUGUUUAAGUUGGCCAUGCGGAUGUCUCAAGUUACUGGAGACCCUGGGAAGAUGGCUGCUGUGCUAAGGAACUUAAGCAAGUUCCGAAUCAAAGAACUUACCUGAUCUGGAAGAAAGAUGUCGGCUGUAAUGGAAGUUGGCCAUCAUGGAUCGUUUGGGUUGAGGACGGAUGAUGUUAGGAGUAAUUCUGGGAUUGAUUGUGCUUGCCCUACCCGAUGUCUUGAAAGCAGCACAUUAGAUGCCAGCAUGGGAAUUCACUUGACCAUUCUCUUAAGUUAAGAUGAUCUAUGAUUGCUGCAGAAAUCAACUUGCUGUCGACACUGCUGUUUUGAAGUUAUUUUUAUGCUCUUGGAUCCAGAUGUCUUUAACUUUUACAAAAUAUUCUUCCUCUCUAUUUCACAUGCACGAUCCACAAGGCCCAUAACUCACACUUCUCCCUUCUCUUGUCGCUCCUUGAAUCUUCCUUACUUGCCAAUACCAUCCUCUUUCUAUUUCCUUCGACCCAUCACACCCACAUCCCCGUAUCUAUUUUUAUUAUUUCUCUAUACCAAAAUUAAGAUGGGUUCAAGAGAGCCUCUUCUGUUAUUUCGGAGAUUUCUUUAGAUCUGUUGAGUUUUUCCUAUAAGUAUACUUUUCCUCCAGUAAUUAUGCUUGGGGUGGUUUAAAUAAUCUGAGAUGGGCAAGAUGAUUUGUGAUAUAAUGUUGUUGAUGGAUUUUAUUGUUGAUGAGCUUGUGGGUAUAUUGAUAAGUUGUAUGCAGAGAAUGGUGGUGCAGAAGAUGCAUGUUUUUUGUUUGAUAAGAUGCCUGGUAAAGAUUGUAUUUUAUGAAAUGUGAUGCUCAAUUAUCUUUAAGAUGUGGGGGAUCAUUACAGCUGGAAAAGUUUUUUGAGAAAAUGAGGAAUUACAAAA